This 512-nucleotide ribosomal RNA is filed under the name uncultured bacterium. Its description in RNAcentral is "bacterial SSU rRNA". It matches the Rfam family "Bacterial small subunit ribosomal RNA", at positions 8 to 509 of the family's 1533-position model. The record is from RNAcentral.
AGAGUUUGAUCCUGGCUCAGAUUGAACGCUGGCGGUAUGCUUAACACAUGCAAGUCGAACGGUAACAGGCAAAAGCUUGCUUUUGCGCUGACGAGUGGCGGACGGGUGAGUAACGCGUAGGAAUCUGCCUAGUAGUGGGGGACAACCUGGUGAAAACCAGGCUAAUACCGCAUACGCCCUACGGGGGAAAGCGGGGGAUCUUCGGACCUCGCGCUAUUAGAUGAGCCUGCGUUAGAUUAGCUAGUUGGUGGGGUAAAGGCCUACCAAGGCGACGAUCUAUAGCUGGUCUGAGAGGACGAUCAGCCACACUGGGACUGANACACGGCCCAGACUCCUACGGGAGGCAGCAGUGGGGAAUAUUGGACAAUGGGCGAAAGCCUGAUCCAGCAAUACCGCGUGUGUGAAGAAGGCCUGAGGGUUGUAAAGCACUUUCANUUGGGAGGAAAAGCUAAUUAUUAAUAGUAAUUAGCCUUGACGUUACCUUUAGAAGAAGCACCGGNUAACUCCGUGCC